AGUUUGAUCCUGGCUCAGAACGAACGCUGGCGGCAUGCCUAACACAUGCAAGUCGAACGAUGCUUUCGGGCAUAGUGGCGCACGGGUGCGUAACGCGUGGGAAUCUGCCCUUGGGUCUGGGAUAACAGUUGGAAACGACUGCUAAUACCGGAUGAUAUCGCGAGAUCAAAGAUUUAUCGCCCGAGGAUGAGCCCGCGUCAGAUUAGCUAGUUGGUGGGGUAAAGGCCUACCAAGGCGACGAUCUGUAGCUGGUCUGAGAGGAUGAUCAGCCACACUGGGACUGAGACACGGCCCAGACUCCUACGGGAGGCAGCAGUGGGGAAUAUUGGACAAUGGGCGCAAGCCUGAUCCAGCCAUGCCGCGUGAGUGAUGAAGGCCUUAGGGUUGUAAAGCUCUUUCACCGAUGAAGAUAAUGACGGUAGUCGGAGAAGAAGCCCCGGCUAACUCCGUGCCAGCAGCCGCGGUAA
This 467-nucleotide ribosomal RNA is filed under the name uncultured bacterium. RNAcentral describes it as "bacterial SSU rRNA". It matches the Rfam family "Bacterial small subunit ribosomal RNA", at positions 10 to 523 of the family's 1533-position model. The record is from RNAcentral.